Molecule: long non-coding RNA, 454 nt
Filed under: Linum usitatissimum (flax)
Lineage: Eukaryota; Viridiplantae; Streptophyta; Magnoliopsida; Malpighiales; Linaceae
Description: long non-coding RNA (LUSI_LNC006700)
Source: RNAcentral
CCUGAGCCACCACCUCCUCCUCCUCUGGAUGCCGACAUCGCUAGCUUAGAACUGCCUGGUAAGAUGUCCAAGGGGAUCCAAUCACAGUUGAUGGAGUAAUGUCCUGAUCCGUGCCAUGGAUUCCCGUCUACUGGAUACCAGAAUGCAACUCCCAUCUUGCUUGAUCCGCUGAUCGUGAACUGUGCAUCCUGCAUUCGAGGUUGGAAGCCAAUGUUAUCAGCUGGCGGAUGUCAUUCGAGGCCAAGAAUCUUACUCUUUCCAACAAACGAGUAGUGCCAAAAAGAUAAAUUCAAAGCAUGGCAAGAAUAUUCAUCAUGCACAAACAGAGGUAACAAUACUUGCAAAACUUGACAUCUUGAACCCAAAGAUGUUGAAAAUUGAUCUGCAGGUUUCUCACCUGUUGGAGUCUGUCCAUGGUUCUUAAAGGCCUAGAGAAUUCGAAAUAGUACUUGCC